GACGAACGCUGGCGGCGUGCUUAACACAUGCAAGUCGAACGGAAAGGCCCCUUUGGGGGUACUCGAGUGGCGAACGGGUGAGUAACACGUGAGUAACCUGCCCUUGACUUCGGGAUAACUUCAGGAAACUGGGGCUAAUACCGGGUAGGAAUCCUUGCUGCAUGGUGGGGGUUGGAAAGCUUCGGCGGUUUUGGAUGGACUCGCGGCUUAUCAGCUUGUUGGUGGGGUAGUGGCUUACCAAGGCUUUGACGGGUAGCCGGCCUGGGAGGGCGACCGGCCACAUUGGGACUGAGAUACGGCCCAGACUCCUACGGGAGGCAGCAGUGGGGAAUAUUGCACAAUGGGCGGAAGCCUGAUGCAGCAACGCCGCGUGCGGGAUGACGGCCUUCGGGUUGUAAUCCGCUUUCAGCAGGGGCGAAGCUUGUGGUGACGGUACCUGCAGAAGAAGCACCGGCUAACUCCGUG
RNAcentral lists this ribosomal RNA (465 nucleotides) under uncultured bacterium. RNAcentral describes it as "partial 16S ribosomal RNA". It matches the Rfam family "Bacterial small subunit ribosomal RNA", at positions 28 to 507 of the family's 1533-position model. The record is from RNAcentral.